AACGAACGCUGGCGGCAUGCCUAACACAUGCAAGUCGAACGAGACCUUCGGGUCUAGUGGCGCACGGGUGCGUAACGCGUGGGAACCUGCCCUUAGGUUCGGAAUAACUCCCCGAAAGGGGUGCUAAUACCGGAUAAUGUCUUCGGACCAAAGAUUUAUCGCCUUUGGAUGGGCCCGCGUUGGAUUAGCUAGUUGGUAGGGUAAAAGCCUACCAAGGCGACGAUCCAUAGCUGGUCUGAGAGGAGGAUCAGCCACACUGGGACUGAGACACGGCCCAGAAUCCUACGGGAGGCAGCAGUGGGGAAUAUUGGACGAGGGGCGAAAGCCUGAUCCAGCAAUGCCGCGUGAGUGAUGAAGGCCUUAGGGUUGUAAAGCUCUUUUACCCGGGAUGAUAAUGACAGUACCGGGAGAAUAAGCUCCGGCUAACUCCGUG
Molecule: ribosomal RNA, 433 nt
Filed under: uncultured bacterium
Lineage: Bacteria
Description: partial 16S ribosomal RNA
Rfam family: Bacterial small subunit ribosomal RNA
Source: RNAcentral